CGGAGGCAGCAGUGGGGAAUUUUGCGCAAUGGGCGAAAGCCUGACGCAGCAACGCCGCGUGAGGGAUGAAGGCUCUCGGGUCGUAAACCUCUUUCAGCAGGGAUGAAAUUGACAGUACCUGCAGAAGAAGCCCCGGCUAAAUACGUGCCAGCAGCCGCGGUAAUACGUAUGGGGCAAGCGUUAUCCGGAUUCAUUGGGCGUAAAGAGCGCGUAGGCGGCUUGUUAAGUCAGAUGUGAAACCUGGGGGCUCAACCCGCAGCGUGCAUCUGAAACUGGCAGGCUUGAGUCUGGUAGAGGAAAGUGGAAUUCCCAGUGUAGCGGUGAAAUGCGCAGAUAUUGGGAGGAACACCAGUGGCGAAGGCGGCUUUCUGGGCCACGACUGACGCUGAGGCGCGAAAGCUAGGGGAGCAAACAGGAUUAGAUACCCUGGUAGC
Molecule: ribosomal RNA, 434 nt
Filed under: uncultured bacterium
Lineage: Bacteria
Description: bacterial SSU rRNA
Rfam family: Bacterial small subunit ribosomal RNA
Source: RNAcentral